CCUACGGGUGGCAGCAGUGAGGAAUAUUGGUCAAUGGUCGGGAGACUGAACCAGCCAAGCCGCGUGAGGGAUGAAGGUACAGAGUAUCGUAAACCUCUUUUGUCAGGGAACAAAGGCGGGGCCGCGUCCCCGGAUGAGUGUACCUGAAGAAAAAGCAUCGGCUAACUCCGUGCCAGCCGCCGCGGUAAUACGGAGGAUGCGAGCGUUAACCGGAUUUAGUGGGUUUAAAGGGUGAGCAGGCGGUCUGUUAAGUCAGCGGUAAAAGCCCGGGGCGCAACCCCGGCCCGCCGUUGAAACUGGCGGUCUUGAGUUGGAGAGAAGUAUGCGGAAUGCGCGGUGUAGCGGUGAAAUGCAUAGAUAUCGCGCAGAACUCCGAUUGCGAAGGCAGCAUGCCGGCGCCACACUGACGCUGAGGCACGAAAGCGUGGGUAUCGAACAGGAUUAGAUACCCGUGUAGUC
This 459-nucleotide ribosomal RNA is filed under the name uncultured bacterium. RNAcentral's name for it is "partial 16S ribosomal RNA". It matches the Rfam family "Bacterial small subunit ribosomal RNA", at positions 338 to 795 of the family's 1533-position model. The record is from RNAcentral.